AUUGAACGCUGGCGGCAGGCUUAACACAUGCAAGUCGAGCGGGGUGAUGGUGCUUGCACUAUCACUUAGCGGCGGACGGGUGAGUAAUGCUUAGGAAUCUGCCUAUUAGUGGGGGACAACAUCUCGAAAGGGAUGCUAAUACCGCAUACGUCCUACGGGAGAAAGCAGGGGAUCACUUGUGACCUUGCGCUAAUAGAUGAGCCUAAGUCGGAUUAGCUAGUUGGUGGGGUAAAGGCCUACCAAGGCGACGAUCUGUAGCGGGUCUGAGAGGAUGAUCCGCCACACUGGGACUGAGACACGGCCCAGACUCCUACGGGAGGCAGCAGUGGGGAAUAUUGGACAAUGGGGGGAACCCUGAUCCAGCCAUGCCGCGUGUGUGAAGAAGGCCUUAUGGUUGUAAAGCACUUUAAGCGAGGAGGAGGCUCUUUUGGUUAAUACCCAAGAUGAGUGGACGUUACUCGCAGAAUAAGCACCGGCUAACUCUGUGCAGCCGCGGUAACAC
RNAcentral lists this ribosomal RNA (502 nucleotides) under uncultured bacterium. RNAcentral describes it as "partial 16S ribosomal RNA". It matches the Rfam family "Bacterial small subunit ribosomal RNA", at positions 30 to 526 of the family's 1533-position model. The record is from RNAcentral.